AACAAUAGGAACAAGUGCAGAAAUUUGACAACCCGACUUUGGCUUGCUCUUUGGAAUCGAUUGCAAAAGUUUAAUCAACACUAACGAAAAUUAUGGAUUCCUGAUUGCCGGAAAUGUAUAAUCUACGACAAUUGAUUACUGAUUUAAGACCUAGAAUGGCUCCUUCUCAUCUACAUACUCGGAGCACUAGCCACGCGUGUGGGAUUUCUUAUCGUUUGACGACGACGACGACGACAGCGACGCGACGCUUUGCAGCUUUUAUUUUUGU
Drosophila willistoni is the source of this 268-nucleotide long non-coding RNA. RefSeq lists it as uncharacterized. The record is from RefSeq and is a predicted model, not a curated record. NCBI's taxonomy places the organism in Eukaryota, Metazoa, Arthropoda, Insecta, Diptera, Drosophilidae. The transcript has 3 exons.